Molecule: transfer RNA, 71 nt
Filed under: Loxodonta africana (African savanna elephant)
Lineage: Eukaryota; Metazoa; Chordata; Mammalia; Proboscidea; Elephantidae
Rfam family: tRNA
About the family: Transfer RNA (tRNA) molecules are approximately 80 nucleotides in length. Their secondary structure includes four short double-helical elements and three loops (D, anti-codon, and T loops).
Source: Rfam by way of RNAcentral
GCUCUGGUGGCUCAGUGGUUAAGCACUUGGUUGCCAACCAAAAGGUCAUGGGUUCAAAUCCACCAGCUGCU